GACGAACGCUGGCGGCGUGCCUAACACAUGCAAGUCGAACGGAGAUUUCAGCAAUGGAAUCUUAGUGGCGAACGGGUGAGUAACGCGUAGACAACCUACCUUCUAGAUGGGGACAACACUGCGAAAGUGGUGCUAAUACCGCAUGUUGUAUGUGAAACGCCUGUUUCACAUACUAAAGGUGGCCUCUAUUUAUAAGCUACCACUAGAAGAUGGGUCUGCGUCUGAUUAGCUAGUUGGUGAGGUAAUGGCUCACCAAGGCGACGAUCAGUAGCCGGUCUGAGAGGAUGAACGGCCACACUGGGACUGAGACACGGCCCAGACUCCUACGGGAGGCAGCAGUGGGGAAUCUUCCGCAUUGGACGAAAGUCUGACGGAGCAACGCCGCGUGAGUGAAGAAGGUUUUCGGAUCGUAAAACUCUGUUUUCAGGGACGAAUGUGCAAUAUGUGAAUAAUGUGUUGUAAUGACGGUACCUGACAAGAAAGCCACGGCUAACUACGUGCCAGCCGCCGCUGUAA
RNAcentral lists this ribosomal RNA (516 nucleotides) under uncultured bacterium. RNAcentral describes it as "partial 16S ribosomal RNA". It matches the Rfam family "Bacterial small subunit ribosomal RNA", at positions 28 to 523 of the family's 1533-position model. The record is from RNAcentral.